Molecule: ribosomal RNA, 1447 nt
Filed under: uncultured organism
Description: SSU rRNA
Rfam family: Bacterial small subunit ribosomal RNA
Source: RNAcentral
GCUACAGGCUUAACACAUGCAAGUCGAGGGGCAGCAUGGUCUUAGCUUGCUAAGGCCGAUGGCGACCGGCGCACGGGUGAGUAACACGUAUCCAACCUGCCGUCUACUCUUGGACAGCCUUCUGAAAGGAAGAUUAAUACAAGAUGGCAUCAUGAGUCCGCAUGUUCACAUGAUUAAAGGUAUUCCGGUAGACGAUGGGGAUGCGUUCCAUUAGAUAGUAGGCGGGGUAACGGCCCACCUAGUCUUCGAUGGAUAGGGGUUCUGAGAGGAAGGUCCCCCACAUUGGAACUGAGACACGGUCCAAACUCCUACGGGAGGCAGCAGUGAGGAAUAUUGGUCAAUGGGCGAGAGCCUGAACCAGCCAAGUAGCGUGAAGGAUGACUGCCCUAUGGGUUGUAAACUUCUUUUAUAAAGGAAUAAAGUCGGGUAUGCAUACCCGUUUGCAUGUACUUUAUGAAUAAGGAUCGGCUAACUCCGUGCCAGCAGCCGCGGUAAUACGGAGGAUCCGAGCGUUAUCCGGAUUUAUUGGGUUUAAAGGGAGCGUAGAUGGAUGUUUAAGUCAGUUGUGAAAGUUUGCGGCUCAACCGUAAAAUUGCAGUUGAUACUGGAUAUCUUGAGUGCAGUUGAGGCAGGCGGAAUUCGUGGUGUAGCGGUGAAAUGCUUAGAUAUCACGAAGAACUCCGAUUGCGAAGGCAGCCUGCUAAGCUGCAACUGACAUUGAGGCUCGAAAGUGUGGGUAUCAAACAGGAUUAGAUACCCUGGUAGUCCACACGGUAAACGAUGAAUACUCGCUGUUUGCGAUAUACAGCAAGCGGCCAAGCGAAAGCGUUAAGUAUUCCACCUGGGGAGUACGCCGGCAACGGUGAAACUCAAAGGAAUUGACGGGGGCCCGCACAAGCGGAGGAACAUGUGGUUUAAUUCGAUGAUACGCGAGGAACCUUACCCGGGCUUAAAUUGCAGAUGAAUUACGGUGAAAGCCGUAAGCCGCAAGGCAUCUGUGAAGGUGUUGCAUGGUUGUCGUCAGCUCGUGCCGUGAGGUGUCGGCUUAAGUGCCAUAACGAGCGCAACCCUUGUUGUCAGUUACUAACAGGUUCCGCUGAGGACUCUGACAAGACUGCCAUCGUAAGAUGUGAGGAAGGUGGGGAUGACGUCAAAUCAGCACGGCCCUUACGUCCGGGGCUACACACGUGUUACAAUGGGGGGGUACAGAGGGCCGCUACCACGCGAGUGGAUGCCAAUCCCAAAAACCUCUCUCAGUUCGGACUGGAGUCUGCAACCCGACUCCACGAAGCUGGAUUCGCUAGUAAUCGCGCAUCAGCCACGGCGCGGUGAAUACGUUCCCGGGCCUUGUACACACCGCCCGUCAAGCCAUGGGAGCCGGGGGUACCUGAAGUGCGUAACCGCGAGGAGCGCCCUAGGGUAAAACUGGUGACUGGGGCUAAGUCAU